Molecule: small nucleolar RNA, 79 nt
Filed under: Helianthus annuus (common sunflower)
Lineage: Eukaryota; Viridiplantae; Streptophyta; Magnoliopsida; Asterales; Asteraceae
Description: sRNA HanXRQr2_Chr16g0772791
Rfam family: Small nucleolar RNA R160
About the family: snoR160 is a C/D box small nucleolar RNA, which acts as a methylation guide for 25S ribosomal RNA in plants. snoR160 has been alternatively named snoZ270 in rice.
Source: Rfam by way of RNAcentral
GGCAAUAUGAUGAGAAACUUCACUCUGAAUUUAUAGUUGUUGAAUUCAUAUUUAGUACCUUCAAAGUUCUCUGAUUGCU